This 1450-nucleotide long non-coding RNA is filed under the name Androctonus crassicauda. Lineage: Eukaryota; Metazoa; Arthropoda; Arachnida; Scorpiones; Buthidae. The record is from RNAcentral.
AUGGUUGCUUGAGCAUUCUAUUAUUGUAAUAUUUAAAAUUCUUGAAGACUUUUUGAAAUUUUCUGAAAUUUGAAAAUGAAAUUUCACAUACAUAAGUACGAAUGUUCAUAACACUAAGAGUUCCUCUAUGAAUUGUUGAUAGCAUUAUCAUAUGAUUUAUCAGCUUAUUCUAAUUUGUUUUAAAUUAUUUGUGGAGAUGAUUCUACUUUUGCAAUCAAAUCAUUUCAGUAAUUUGCAUAGUUAUUUGAUUAUUUCAAUCACAUCAUUAUGCAAAUUAUUAGAUAAGUUUUGCCUUUAUUUCAUAUCACAUUAUUAAUAAGAGCAGUUGUACUUAUAAAUAGGAUAUAGUUUUAAACAGUGAUAAAUUGAAAAGGAAAAUUAUGAUUGUUAAUAAUUUUUAAAGGAAUCUCUUAAGUACUCAUAGUUCUUUAUUGCUUUCUUACUACUAUCUUUAUCAUCCAGAAUUAAAAAAAUGGUAUAUUUUAUAUAAUUUAGUUUUUCAGUCUUUUACUAUUAGUUGCUUUUUGUUUACUGCCGUAUUAUAUAAAAAAUUUGUUUGUCUUUACUUGUUUAAAAACAUUUUUUUAAAAAUAUUAUUUAUCAAAUAAUAAAUAAAAUAGUACUGUUAUCCAAAUAAUGGCAGCAAAAGUUAACAUAUGAAAAAUAAAAGGUCAGCAGUAACUUGCAUACUAUUUUUUAUUCAUCAUUCAGUUUAAUAACAAUAAUAUCUUCAGCUUUAUAUCAAGCCCUCUUCAAUUGCUUAUAUUUUAAAAAAUGAAAGAACAUUGAAUACAAAUUCCACUAAGAAUUCAGAUCAAAAAUUUAUGCAUUGGCAUAAUUCCACAAUAUUGUUAAUAGCUUACAUUACAUAAUAUAAAAAUACAAUUUAUGUUAAUACAAUGAAUUUAAAAAUAUCAAAAAAAUAUAUAAGCAAAUACGCUGAUAAAGUUAAUCCGUUUCUUCUGUUCAUAUGUUGUACACAAGUUGUUGCUACUAUUCCUGCAUUGUUUAUUAUUAGUUUAAAGCUAUAUUCUCUAUUUUUGUAUUUCAAUUUUUGCUUUUGGCACCACUUCCAAGCUAUGCUUAUGGCCAAUAGAUUUGUUUAUUGAUGAUGAUAUUCUGCUUUUAACUUUCCUUCAUAAAAUCAUUGUUUCUUCCAUAACUUUUCUCUGUCAAGGUUCUUCUAUUCUUUUUAACAAUUUCAUAUCUUGUCACUUUAUAUCUACAUUAUGAGCAAUUGCUCUCUAAGAAAGGGCUCUUUCUGUGUUUUUGCUAUAACAUCUUCCAUAUGCUCCUUUAAAUAUAUUAAAAACAGUGGUGGAACUUAAAAUUUUUGGCCCUCCCCUAUAAAAUAAUAAUCAGGCUUCUACAACAAAAAAAAUUUUUCAUCAAAAUAUUUUUAUUAGAAAAUAACAAAAACGAACAGAAUUGCAUCAUUUAAAACACAAUU